RNAcentral lists this long non-coding RNA (245 nucleotides) under Elaeis guineensis (African oil palm). RNAcentral's name for it is "long non-coding RNA (EGUI_LNC013635)". The record is from RNAcentral. Lineage: Eukaryota; Viridiplantae; Streptophyta; Magnoliopsida; Arecales; Arecaceae.
CUUUGAAGAUAAUCUGUGACUAUUCUUUUAUAAUUGAUAAGCUAAUCUUUACCCCAAAGGAGCAAACUGAAUGAUAACUCCUGCUUUAGAUGUUGGUUCCACAAAUGAUGGAAUCGAAAUAAAAUUUAAUUCUUAAAAAAGAGAUUAUGGAGGAUUGGAGCAUUCUUAUCUCUCUAUUAUUCUUAACCGAACAGAUAGAAGCCGCUUUUUUCUGCUCAAGCACUUUUGAAAAGAAUAGAUGGGAU